AUUGAACGCUGGCGGCAUGCCUUACACAUGCAAGUCGAACGGUAACAGGUCUUCGGAUGCUGACGAGUGGCGAACGGGUGAGUAAUACAUCGGAACGUGCCCGAUCGUGGGGGAUAACGAAGCGAAAGCUUUGCUAAUACCGCAUACGAUCUACGGAUGAAAGCAGGGAACCGCAAGGCCUUGAGCGAACGGAGCGGCCGAUGGCAGAUUAGGUAGUUGGUGGGAUAAAAGCUUACCAAGCCGACGAUCUGUAGCUGGUCUGAGAGGACGACCAGCCACACUGGGACUGAGACACGGCCCAGACUCCUACGGGAGGCAGCAGUGGGGAAUUUUGGACAAUGGGCGAAAGCCUGAUCCAGCCAUGCCGCGUGCAGGAUGAAGGCCUUCGGGUUGUAAACUGCUUUUGUACGGAACGAAAAGACUCUGGUUAAUACCUGGGGUCCAUGACGGUACCGUAAGAAUAAGCACCGGCUAACUACGUGCCAGCAGCCGCCGUAA
RNAcentral lists this ribosomal RNA (498 nucleotides) under uncultured bacterium. RNAcentral's name for it is "partial 16S ribosomal RNA". It matches the Rfam family "Bacterial small subunit ribosomal RNA", at positions 30 to 523 of the family's 1533-position model. The record is from RNAcentral.